GAUGAACGCUGGCGGUGUGCCUAAUACAUGCAAGUCGAACGCGAUCUUCGGAUCGAGUGGCGGACGGGUGAGUAACACGUUGGUACCUACCCCGAAGUGGGGAAUAACUGCCCGAAAGGGUGGCUAAUACCGCAUAAUACCGUAAGGUUAAAGCAGUAAUGCGCUUCGGGAGGGGCCUGCGUCCCAUUAGCUUGUUGGUAGUGUAAUGGACUACCAAGGCGACGAUGGGUAGCUGGAUCGAGAGGUUGACCAGCCACACUGGGACUGAGAUACGGCCCAGACUCCUACGGGAGGCAGCAGUAAGGAAUCUUCCACAAUGGACGAAAGUCUGAUGGAGCAACACCGCGUGCAGGAUGACGGUCUUCGGAUUGUAAACUGCUUUUAUAUGGGAAGAUUAUGACGGUACCAUAUGAAUAAGGACCGGCUAACUACGUGCCAGCAG
RNAcentral lists this ribosomal RNA (442 nucleotides) under uncultured bacterium. RNAcentral's name for it is "bacterial SSU rRNA". It matches the Rfam family "Bacterial small subunit ribosomal RNA", at positions 28 to 514 of the family's 1533-position model. The record is from RNAcentral.